RNAcentral lists this ribosomal RNA (320 nucleotides) under Methylobacterium sp. MB1.5. Its description in RNAcentral is "bacterial SSU rRNA". It matches the Rfam family "Bacterial small subunit ribosomal RNA", at positions 1008 to 1329 of the family's 1533-position model. The record is from RNAcentral. Lineage: Bacteria; Pseudomonadati; Pseudomonadota; Alphaproteobacteria; Hyphomicrobiales; Methylobacteriaceae. RNAcentral also lists the same sequence under 1 other name.
UUGGGGUCCACUUCGGUGGCGCGCACACAGGUGCUGCAUGGCUGUCGUCAGCUCGUGUCGUGAGAUGUUGGGUUAAGUCCCGCAACGAGCGCAACCCACGUCCUUAGUUGCCAUCAUUCAGUUGGGCACUCUAGGGAGACUGCCGGUGAUAAGCCGCGAGGAAGGUGUGGAUGACGUCAAGUCCUCAUGGCCCUUACGGGAUGGGCUACACACGUGCUACAAUGGCGGUGACAGUGGGACGCGAAGGAGCGAUCUGGAGCAAAUCCCCAAAAGCCGUCUCAGUUCGGAUUGCACUCUGCAACUCGAGUGCAUGAAGGCGG